UUACAGCUUGCCCGGCUGGCAAUCCUACGCUGCAGAAAGAAGGAUGCAAAAAUGGGUUUAAUUGCGGGAGAAGACAACAGAACUCAUCUGCCUGCCCGGAAGGUUUCUUCUGCCCGGUUGGCAAUAGCUCCCCCAUUCCGUGCCCAGAAGGCACUUUCCGUUCUGCGGGAUUGUCUUCCUCUCUCACCUGCCUGGCCUGUCCGGUGAAUUUCUUCAGUGCUAAAAUGGGCCAGGUCGCUUGCUUGCCGUGUGGCUCGGAGGCCGUGCAACCCAAAGAGGGCCAAAAUACCUGCGUGUGCCUUCGGCAAGGCCGCAUUUUUCAGCCCAGCGAUGCUCAAUGCCCCUGUGCUCCCGGGUAUCGGAGCCUCCGAGAAGACAGGCGGUGGGAUUGCGUCAAAGAAACCUAUGAUAUUUGUAGGGAUGAUACUGUCCGGAACCAAAAUGGCCAGUGCUUAAC
This is a long non-coding RNA of Ahaetulla prasina, 457 nucleotides long. RefSeq lists it as uncharacterized. The transcript is spliced from 3 exons. NCBI's taxonomy places the organism in Eukaryota, Metazoa, Chordata, Lepidosauria, Squamata, Colubridae. The record is from RefSeq and is a predicted model, not a curated record.